This is a non-coding RNA of Aegilops tauschii subsp. strangulata, 7334 nucleotides long. The record is from RefSeq and is a predicted model, not a curated record. Lineage: Eukaryota; Viridiplantae; Streptophyta; Magnoliopsida; Poales; Poaceae.
UAGUCCACGCCUGAUUUGUGGACAACCCUAAAAAUCCUCCCCCUAGUCCCAUCGGCGCUGCCGCCGGUCAUCCACCCCUCUCCUUCCUCGGGAUCCAUCCCACAUCCACCUUGUCUUUAGCCACCACUCUCUCAAUCGGGAUCCCUCCCGAUCCACCCGCCUCUCCUCGAUUUCAGCCACCGGCCAGUCGCCAUCGAAGCUAGCCAACCAGCGUUCUCCUCUGGAUGUCCUCCAUCCACCAACCAGCAGCAGCAACACCUGCAGGAGAGAGCCAGGGGCUCGAUCCCCUCCUCAUGCCCGAGCUUCUCCAACCUCUGCGCUGUCACCAAGCUCCUCCCGCUUGCUCCUCCCUCCGUGGCGCCGCCACCACCGGCGACAAGAAUCAGGCCAUGCCCCCGCUUCCUUCUCUUUUCUUUAGUCUCUCUAUAUCUCUGUCUCUCAAACUCUCUCUUUUUCUAUGUGUCCCACAGCACGCCAUGGAUGCACCAGCUCGACCCGCCAUUGCCUCCCCUUCUUUGCUCCGGUCGCCAUCACCAACGCCAUCAGUGAGAUGCAGCCAAGCCGCCGUACACCCUGCCUCUCGCCCGAGCCUUGCGAGUGGGCACGAGUACAUGUGCUCGUCCGCGCCACCUCGACCUCGCCGGCAAGCAGCAGCCGCACCCGACCUCCUCCAACCCAGGCCUCCCCAGCCUCCUCGCCCAGCCGUGGCCGCGCCAGGCCCAGCAGCAGCUUGCCUAAGCCACGCCCAAUCUCCUUCUCCUCAGGGAACUCGCCGGAGCUCCCAUGGCCGACGCCUCAAACUCGUCUCCGUCGGAUCCACGCCCGGUGCCGCGCCGAACCCAUGCCUCCACCGCUGCUUCACUGCCUCCGCUCGCCGCCAUCUUCUUCCCGGAGGUCCGCCGUCACUGCAAGUCCCGCCGCAGUUUCCGCUCCGUCACGGCCAGUUCGAGCGGAGGAGCAAUCGCCUGUUCCCGUUGACCCGUCGUCCUCCACGUGGUCCGCCAGCCAAGCAGCUCCAAGGCCCAGCCGCUGGCCAGAUCCGUCCCAGCGAGUUCCGGUAACGUUAUGAUUGUGAGGAUUCGUUCGACUAUGUUGGUUCGUCUACUUCAAGGACCCGGUCUUCUUCCUAGCGGGAUUUCAGGCAAGAUGACCAUUAUCUUGGAUACGACUACUAUCUUUAAUUGCUAGUUGUCUCGAUGCUAUCGCUAUGUCGUGCUACCUACCACUUGUUUAUCAAGCCUCCCAAAUUGGCAUGAUAGCCUCUAACCUUUUUCACCAUUCCAGCAAACCGUUGUUUGGCUAUGUUACCGCUUUGGUCAGCACCUCUUAUAGAGUUUUUAGUUACAGGUGCAAUGCAGGUUGUUCCAUGUUAGCACAUGGAUAUCAUGAGAUAUCAUAAUAUCUCUUAUUUAAUUAAUGGAUCUAUAUACAUGGCAAAGGGUGGAAGGCUUGGCCUUUUGCUUGGUGUUUUGUUCCACUCUUCCUGCUUUAGUUUUCGUCAUACCGGUGUUAUGUUCGUUGAUUUUGUGUUCCUAACACGGUCGGGGUUUAUGGCCCCCCUUGACAGUUUGCUUUGAAUAAAACUCUUCCAGCAAGGCCCAACUUUGGUUUUACUAUUUGCCUAAUAACAACUAAAAUUUGCAUAGGGGGUAAUUAACCCGAAGAUUCUUAAUCAACAACCCCGGGCCAGUGCUCCUAAUGAGUGUUGGUCCAAACUGGGUGAUGUUCGGUGCCCCCUGGGCAACCAGAGUCUUAGCCAACCCGACGUCUAGCCCAUCCGGUGUGCCGUGAGAACGAGAUAUGUGCGACUCCUAUCAGGAUUGUCGGUACAUUGGGCGGUCUUGCUGGUUUUGUUUUGCCAUUGUCGAAAUGUCUUGUGCGUCGGGAUUCCGAGUUUGAUCGGGUUGUCCUGAGAUGAAGAUUUUCCUCUGCCGACCGUGAGAGUUAACUUGACACUAAACCCAAAGUAAAAUACACCAACCGCGUGCACAACUGUGAUCGUCUCUUUUUGAGUGAGUUCGGAAAGAGAACACGGUGGGGUUAUGUUUGACUCGUAAGUAGUUCGGGAUCACUUCUUGAUCAUUACUAGUUUGCGACCGUUAUGCAUAGUUUACUCUUCUUAUUCUUGUACUCGUAAGUUAGCCAUCAUACAAUGCUUAGUGCUUGCUGCAACCUCACCACUUAUCCAUUCCAGGCCCAUUAAGCUUUGCUAGUCUUCAUACCCAUGAUAAUGGGAUUUCUAAGUCCUCAUGGCUCAUAGAUUACUACAACAACAGGUGUAGGUAUAGUUAAUGCGAUGAUCUGACGCGAGUGCGAUGCAUGCUUGUUGGAGUUCUUCUUUCACUUCUUCAAUCAAGGGAUAGGUUCUGGAUCGGAAGCCUGGGAUUAAUAGGGUGGAUGUCGUUCUUCUUUUUCGUUUGAUUUCAUCCAUAGUCGGAUCCUGCUCUUCUAUAUGGUGGUUGAUAUGUAUUGAUGUAUUCAUGUUGUAGCUUGUGGCGAGUGUAAGCCUAUAUCUGGUAUUCUCAUCUAUUCAGUACAUGGUAUGUUGUAAUGAUAUCCACCUUGCUAUGUGCUUGAAAUGCGGUUGUGCCCCAAUCAUGAAUUCAUCACGUGAUUGGGAUAGAAUCACAUCUUGGGCGCUACAAGUUAGUAUCAAAGCCUUACCGACCUUAGGAGCCCCCUUGAUUGAUUGAACCGUUGUCGUUGUCAAGUAUACAAAGAAAACUAUUUUGAGUCUAUUUAUAUAUCAGAGAGUAGGAAUUCCUUUUACUCCUUAUCCUCUUCGUUGCUCUAGUGAGGAAUUGUGACGUAGGUGUUUUCAUUCCAUUACUCUUCCCACUCAAUUUUUUUUUAGAAUCACAUGGGUAUUGUUGGAAUCAUUGCGAUAUCCAUGGGACGGGAAUUCUGUUCUUGGUGCCUAUUGACAUUUAGGGGUUGUGGCAGUGUCCCGGGGAGUUGAGCUCCAAGGUGUUUUCGUCACAGUUGUUAUCGCUUCAGUUUCGGAAUACCAGAGGACGUCGACAUCGAAAACGGUUCUAUACUCUUUGUGGUGAGAGUGGUUUGGCGCCACCCAGUACUGGGGAGAGCAAUCAGAUGUAUUCUACAGCUAUUAUAUCAGUUUUUUUGAAGGUCUGAGGUACACAGUUUCCGAGGUUCUUGGUUAUGUGUUGAGGAGGCAGUACAUUUGGAGCGUAGAAUUCUGCUAGGAGUUGUGUGAUGAUAUUUUGCUCCAUGUACUUGUUGUACCGGAUUGCAUAACCGAGAAUUUUGGGAGUUCAUAGGUGGGAAUUCAAGUAGUUACCUAGGUUUAUCCUUCCAACAAAUUCAUGAGUGUUUAUGUAUUUGUUUCCGGCUUAUUUUUGCAAGCCAAAUCCUUUGUUUUAUUUGAGUUGAGGUAUUCGAGUUGCUUCUAUGUCAAGUGUUGAUUCCAUACCUUUUCCUAAGCGGUGUUCUCAUAUUUUAUGGAAGUGCUAAACCUUCUUGAUCAUCGAGAUUAUCAUGACAAUUCUUUUCCAACCGGUGCGCUUCCCUUCAAGAUGAUCCUAUCUUUUCCCCCAUUCUCUGUUUUCUCAACGGUAUCCGUUCCAUCCAUCCCAAGUUGCAUUUGUUUUUUUCCACCAUCCCACCCUUUUCUUCAAGGACUUAGAUUUCUUAAUCAAGUAUCCUUCUAUUUAUGUGAAGUUUCGUCAUCCUUUUCUUCCAAGUUCAUCCGGAGAUUCUAGGUGAAGAUGCUUGGGAAGCUUCAAGUUCAUCAUUCUUCGUUCUUUUUCUUCUCCCGGUGGACUAAAUUCAAGCUUUCAGUGUCGAUCAUAUCAUUUCAUUGGUUCACAUGAUUUCCAUGUUGGAAGUUCUAAUACAAGUCUCUCUUGUUUAUUCACCUCUCUAUAUUCUUCUCCGGAGUGUAAAAGAUAUCUCAGAAAAUUCGCGUUUCCAUUCUCAAUCCGUUCAAGUUAUUUUGAGGUUGUUAUCUCAUUCAAGCCAUUUAAUUUAACGGGUGCAAUCUGUCUUUUAAAAAUCACUUCAAUGGUGUAUCAUCGAACCCUAACCCACAAGUCUUUUCUCAGGAUCUUACCCGACUCUUCUAAAUUUUCCGGAGUUAUUCCAAAUCCUUUUGAAAGUUUGACGUAAGAAUGAAUUAUCAUCAGUCAUAUUCCUUCUCCAAGAUCGCUUUCAAAACAUUUUCAUCGUUGGUUCAACAUUUCUAUUCUUCAUUGUUCCGGAGUGCCUCAACAAUUCAUGGUGGUGUUUCUCAUCAUCAUUCUCAAUAUUUGAAGACCGAAGAAGAGUUUUCCUCCAGACCUUGGUCCGUUCUCUUGAAGUUUCAUGAUUUCAAGCUUCAUGCAAUCCCCUCAAAUUGUUUCCAAUCGUGAGAAAUUAUUUUCAUGACUGUCCCCAAUCCUUUUCGUGAGUUGUUUCAUUUCGAUUCUUCGAAGGCCAUCAUUUCAAAAGAUUUCUUCAUUCUCAUCUUUCAACUUCAUUUCUGCAAUUCUUCUCAAAUCAUGCCUCUUCGUUCGUCUCCAUAUUCUUCUGGUGCUUUGUUCAAGUAUUCUUUAGUCGGCUCAUGAUCUCUUCGUUCACUUGUAUCUACAAUUCCCUCAAGUAUAUUCGUCAUUUCAAUUCUUCACGGUGAUUCGUUCUCUUUUCUUCAUUCGUUUUCAAUUCUUACAGUGGUUCAUUCAACAUUCAUCUUGCUUUAUUAGCAUAUCAUUUCAUUCAUUGUUUCCGAAAUUCUACGAUGACUCGUUGAAGACUUUCUGAAGUUUGCACUAUAUCUCUUCUUAAUCCUUUUUAAGAAGAAUAAGUGGUAUGCCAUAUCCAUUGCUUGUCACCAGGUUAAGUUGAUGACAGAUAAGCAUAACAUAAUCCUUAUUCUUAUUCCUCAAGGUGAUUCAAUCCCUUCGUCUGGAGUUUGUUCAUGUUGAAAAUUUCCCAUUUCCAUGUUGUUGAUCUUCUCUUUUUCCGGAGUUCCAAGUUGUAUUGGUUAUCUCAUCACAAAGCUCCAUCUAAAUCAUCGCAAGGUUUCAUCUUGCUAUUUUUUCAACCUUCACUUCCUUCAUACCAUUUCUUUUCUUACCGGAGUUCUUGAUGAAGUUUCUCAUGGUGGUUCAUCAAAGAUUUCUUCCAUUCUCGAAGUGUUCAUCAAGAUUUUUGUUGGAGGAUCUCAAGUAUUCUUCUUCAUGCAUUUCGAAGUGCAAUUCUGCUACCUUAUCUUGAGGUGGUAUUAUGUCAUUUCUUGACAAUUUCCCUUCAUGUUUCAUGAUUCACAUGUUGUCAAGAAUGACGUAUUUUAAAUCCAUCAAUCUCUUCGUUGGAGUUAUCUUGGUAAAGAUUUCACAUAAAACAUUUCCAAAGGAAUGUUGCUAUUUGUGGUGCUUAUCAAUGAUCCAAGUUAUUUUUUACCAUCUUGGUGGAAGAAGUUUUUCAUCUCUUCAUCGAUCUAAAGCAAGCAAUUGUUUUCGUUAGUGGCAGAAUUUCACCUCAAGUUUUGAGAUGUUUCCACAAGCCCACGAGGACCAUAUGAUUUGAUUGUUGAUUCUUCAACAACUCCGUUCAAGCCUUUCUCCUAAGGAUGCUCUUUCAAAUUCAUUUACAUUAGAUGAUGUUGUAGUCUUCUCUGUUCUUUUCAUUCCAUUCUUUCUUUUGUUCCGGAGGGAUUGUGUUGCUGCUCUCUUCGAGGUAUCAUUCCAUCUUUUCAAGUUCAUGCCCAAAUCCUUCUGUUUUCAAAUGGAGUGCUGCCCAAAUUCUUUCAUUCUUAUUCGUUGUAAUCUCAAUUUAACCGGAGUGGUUUCAAAGUCUAUAUUCUCCCUUAGGCUCUUGGUUCAUGUCUUUCAACCUACAAGGUUCUCGUAAUGUUUCUUGUUCCUCUUUUUUAAUGUAGUGUUUUCAACUGUGUUCAUCUCCAUUGUAUUCUUUUCUUGAAAUUGUUUAACGUUGCAAGGUCUUCCUUUCACUCAUUUGUCCAAGAAGCAACUUAAUAUUACCUCUUCUCUCCGUUUUUCGUCCUUAGAUCUCGGGGCGAGACCUCUUGUAAGUGGGGGAGAGUUGUAACAGCGCGAGACCGACGCUCCAGAUGCCUUCCAUGUUUUUCAUUGUUGUCGUGUGUUUUAUUUUCUUGUUGCAUUUCAUCAUGGCAUCAUGUGCAUUACAUCCGCAUGUUUAAAUAAAACUUGUAUCCGCUCGUAGUUGCUGCUUCUUCCUUCUCUUUGUUGACCUUCUCUCAGAUCAACUGGGCCGCUCUCUUCUCUCUCUUCUUUGAGCCCAUCAAACCCCCUUGCCUCCAUGGCCUUUUGUCAAAGCCCUCGCGUGUGUCCGAAUGCUUCUCCGAAACCGAACCAUGCAGUCAUGACCAGUGGGUUUGCAUUAAACCCAAACAUCUCCAAAUACCUUCGGUUUAUUUAUUGGACUCUCCUAACCUAUUCAUCUCGGACCAUCAGAUUACGAUCGAACAGACGAUUUAGCCCUAACCAUAACCCACUUGCUAUAUAUAGUCCACCCCUAGUCCAUUUGUCGACAACCCUAAAAAUCCACUCCCUUGUCCCAUCGGCUCCGCCGCCGGUCAUCCACCCCUCUCCUUCCUCAGGAUCCAUCCCACAUCCAACUUGUCUUCAGCCACCACUCUCUCCAUCGGGAUCCCUCCCAAUCCACCCAUGAUGAGGACAUGGCUACCACAGUUACACCCAUAUCCCUGUUGUUUUACCUCUUGGAACAAUUGCUAGAACUCGCAUACGCCAAUUCAAUUAUCAGGUACUUUCGUUUCUUGGUAAUGUUUCUAGUGUUCAUGAGAAUAUGGUGCUUCCUAACAAACAUAUAUUUGUGUUGCUUGCAAUUGAAGGGCCUAGCACGGACAAGAAGGAUGAACAUUGGAGCAUGGUCAAGCACGGAGAUGAAGGUGCAUGCGAAGAGAAUAAGAACGGAGGUUCAAGUAGAGAUUUCCGGACUUUGAAGCCACAAUGACGACAUACAAGAAGAUGGACAAAAUAUACAAGAUGGCCUUUUAUAAAUUUCGUCCAUAGCUUAUUAUUGGUGCUGCGCCACCUUAUUUUUGGGCCAGGCCCAUGUAAUUUCAAAAUACUACUUCAUAGGCUGUUUUUAGAGUUCAUAUUGCAGGGGAAACGAACCGGGAGGUAUUUUAGUCCCACCUUGCCAAGAGUGGACGAAAUCCCCUCUCUUUUCCCCUAUAAAUAUAGCCCUUAAGGAAUCGUUUAGACUUGGGUUUUAUUUAGUUAAAAUUUAGUCAUCACUGCAACUUCGUGUACUUCGUUUGUGUCCAACGACCAGACCAAGACCGCUUAUGAAACCCCAUUUUUAUCAAUAUUUCAUCCAUAUUCGCAGUA